UGAAUACGAGACGCUAAGGCGUCGAAGUAGUGUAUGUCAUACUUCCAAGAAAAGCUUGCACUGUCAUAGAUAAAAAACGCCUGUACCAUAACCGACACAGGUGGGUAGGUAGAGUAUACUAAGGGGCGCGAGAUAACUCUCUCUAAGGAACUCGGCAAAAUAACUCCGUAACUUCGGGAGAAGGAGUGCCUUAUUCGUAAGGUUGCAAUAACAAGAUCCAAGCAACUGUUUAUCAAAAACACAGGUCUCCGCUAAGUCGUAAGGCGAUGUAUGGGGGCUGACGCCUGCCCAGUGCCAGAAGGUUAAAGAAGUUGGUUAGCAAUUGCGAAGCUGAUAACUGAAGCCCUGGUGAACGGCGGCCGUAACUAUAACGGUCCUAAGGUAGCGAAAUUCCUUGUCGGGUAAGUUCCGACCCGCACGAAAGGCGUAAUGAUUUGGAUACUGUCUCGGAGAGGGGCUCGGUGAAAUAGACUUGUCUGUGAAGAUGCGGACUACCUGCACCAGGACAGAAAGACCCUAUGAAGCUUUACUGUAACUUGAAAUUGAAAUUGGACUUUAUUCGCGCAGUAUAGGUGGGAGGCGUUGAUUAUAAUCUUGUGGGAUUAUUGGAGCCAUCAGUGAGAUACCACUCUUGUAAUGUUAGAUUUCUAACUUUGAAUCAUUAUCUGGUCAAAGAACAGUUUCAGGCGGGCAGUUUGACUGGGGCGGUCGCCUCCUAAACGGUAACGGAGGCGUACAAAGGUUUCCUCUGAACGGUUAGAAAUCGUAUCUAGAGUGUAAAGGCAUAAGGAAGCUUGACUGUGAGACCUACAAGUCGAGCAGGGACGAAAGUCGGUCUUAGUGAUCUGACGGUACUGAGUGGAAAGGCCGUCACUCAACGGAUAAAAGUUACUCUAAGGAUAACAGGCUGAUCUCCCCCAAGAGUUCACAUCGACGGGGAGGUUUGGCACCUCGAUGUCGGCUCAUCGCAUCCUGGGGCGGUAGUACGUCCCAAGGGUUGGGCUGUUCGCCCAUGAAAGCGGUACGCGAGCUGGGUUCAGAACGUCGUGAGACAGUUCGGUCCAUAUCCGGUGUAGGCGUUAGAAUAUUGAGAGGAGCCUUCUUUAGUACGAGAGGACCGAGAAGGACAUACCUCUGGUGUACCAGUUAUCGUGCCAACGGUAAACGCUGGGUAGCUAUGUAUGGAGUGGAUAACCGCUGAAAGCAUCUAAGUGGGAAGCCCACCUCAAGAUAAGUAUUCUCAUC
Molecule: ribosomal RNA, 1245 nt
Filed under: metagenome
Description: bacterial LSU rRNA
Rfam family: Bacterial large subunit ribosomal RNA
Source: RNAcentral